ACUAAAGUAGUUUUACUAAAACAUCAGCCUGUGGCACUGAAAACGCCAGUUAAACUCUGGCCUUAAGUC
RNAcentral lists this transfer RNA (69 nucleotides) under Sterechinus neumayeri. RNAcentral describes it as "tRNA-His". It matches the Rfam family "tRNA". Rfam says of the family: Transfer RNA (tRNA) molecules are approximately 80 nucleotides in length. Their secondary structure includes four short double-helical elements and three loops (D, anti-codon, and T loops). The record is from RNAcentral. Lineage: Eukaryota; Metazoa; Echinodermata; Echinoidea; Camarodonta; Echinidae.